RNAcentral lists this long non-coding RNA (898 nucleotides) under Homo sapiens (human). Its description in RNAcentral is "HSALNT0370508". Lineage: Eukaryota; Metazoa; Chordata; Mammalia; Primates; Hominidae. The record is from RNAcentral.
ACCCGCGCCGGGCAGCCCCGCCGGCCGCCCUCACGCACGCGCUGUGCCCCGCGGGAGCUCCAGGCCGCCCCUCCUGCCGCCCAGCUUCGUGACUCCACGGCCCCACGCGCCCCUUGCUGCCUUCCGCUGGGGUUUCCGAGCCGCCCCCGAACCGCGCACCCGACUUGCAGGCGUCCGCCUGGGCCUCCCUAAGACACGCCGCAUACAGGACAGGCCCCUGGGCCUUCCGCGGCGAUGGCGCUGCGCUAAUGACGUCAUAGGCCCGGACUCGCGUGAGUGCGCGUGCGUUGGGGCCUCAGCCUUUAUCUCCACUCUGCGGAGAUUCACGCCUGGAAAACGCUCUUCUGAGAGGAUCUGUGGAGGUCAACCCAGGAGAGAGAAGACAGGACUGAAGCACUGAAAGGGUCCUGCCGUUAAGGGCGCAGGAUUGUAUAGAAUAUAUAAUAGCAGUAGCAGCUCUGUUUACGGAGCAUUAACCUUACGUGGAGUUAUUUCCUGCAUUUCCUCCUUUCGUCUUUACAAGAGAUUGGGUCUCUCCACAUUGCCCCGGCUGCUCUCCAACCCCUGAGUUCAAGUGAUUCACCUCCCUUGGCCUCCCAAAGUACUGGGAUUACAGGCGUGAGCCACCGUGCCUGGCUGAGAAGAUGGAUUUAAGACAUAUUUUGGAGCGGAAAGUGACCAGAAGAGGUGUGCAGUUUCCAGGCCUGGCCCAUACAGACCUCCAACAGGUGCUCCCCUGUGCUGUUACUCCUUCUGCCAACUGGAAGCAGAUGGUGACCAGGCUCUGGAGAAGGCAAGGCCUGAAGAUGGGAGAUUCCUAAGUGGAGGAGAACUGUGCCUUACUGACCUAAAUAUCCACUCAGUAUUGUUAUGUGAGAAUAAAUAAACUUGUGUUGAC